CACGUAGGGGGCGAGCGUUGUCCGGAUUUAUUGGGCGUAAAGAGCUCGUAGGUGGCUUAGUAAGUCGGGUGUGAAACCUCCAGGCUCAACCUGGAGACGCCACCCGAUACUGCUAUAGCUUGAGUCCGGUAGGGGAGCGUGGAAUUCCUGGUGUAGCGGUGAAAUGCGCAGAUAUCAGGAGGGACACCAGCGGCGAAGGCGGCGCUCUGGGCCGGUACUGACGCUGAGGCGCGACAGCGUGGGGAGCAAACAGG
RNAcentral lists this ribosomal RNA (254 nucleotides) under uncultured bacterium. RNAcentral describes it as "partial 16S ribosomal RNA". It matches the Rfam family "Bacterial small subunit ribosomal RNA", at positions 524 to 776 of the family's 1533-position model. The record is from RNAcentral.